RNAcentral lists this ribosomal RNA (260 nucleotides) under uncultured bacterium. RNAcentral describes it as "partial 16S ribosomal RNA". It matches the Rfam family "Bacterial small subunit ribosomal RNA", at positions 793 to 1055 of the family's 1533-position model. The record is from RNAcentral.
GUCCACGCCGUAAACGAUGUCAACUAGUCGUCGGGGACUUCGGUCUUUGGUGGCGCAGCUAACGCGUGAAGUUGACCGCCUGGGGAGUACGGCCGCAAGGUUAAAACUCAAAUGAAUUGACGGGGCCCGCACAAGCGGUGGAGCAUGUGGUUUAAUUCGAUGCAACGCGAAAACCUUACCUACCCUUGACAUCCUCGGAACUUUCCAGAGAUGGAUUGGUGCCUUCGGGAACCGAGAGACAGGUGCUGCAUGGCUGUCGU